This 1315-nucleotide long non-coding RNA is filed under the name Homo sapiens (human). Its description in RNAcentral is "long intergenic non-protein coding RNA 2128". The record is from RNAcentral. Lineage: Eukaryota; Metazoa; Chordata; Mammalia; Primates; Hominidae.
CAGGGGCAGACAGCUCCAGGUGCUGGAGGCUGCCGCGCGGAGAGGUCCGCCCAGCCAGGAUGUGCGUUGUCCUGAGAAUCGAAUUACCCGGAACCCCAGAGCUCACCCUCUCUGAAGGAGAGCAGGUGCCUCCUGAGAGCAGGGCUUCUCUACCUUGGGGCACUAUGAACAUUCUGAGUGGGUGCCCACUUUGUUCAUCUCUGCUCACUGGGGGAGCCAGGACACGGAUCCAGGUUUUCUGACUCCAGGUAGGCACCCAAAUCAAGACUCAGAUUUCCUCAUCUCAGAAGUUGUCCACUUCUUCUCCGACCUCCACGGUAACUCGGAACCACACCGUGGAGUUAUCCCUGUGUCCUCUUUCUCGGAAGUUCCACAUCCAACCCCUCAGCAGGUCUCAGCGGCACUCUCACCACCUCCUCUGCUCUGUUCCUGUUUCUCUUGGAUGGUCGAAUGUUUCCUAAGGAGUGUCUGCUGCUUCACGCUUGCCCCCUGGAGUGGCAUCUAAAAGGUGCAGGAUACCCUACAACUAACAGGCAUGAUGCCAUCAAGACAUCUUGAGCCUGGCUACCUCCCGUGGCCUGUAUUUUGUCCACAGGAAACUCGCGCAGUCUCACUACAGCAAAUUGAGGUGGUAUGGGGUGCCUGCUGCUGCCUCUCUCUUCACCUUUCCACAGAGGGCUGCCCCAGCCUGACUCCCACUUCCAGAGUUUCUCCAGCCAGGAGAAUCCUGAAAUCUCUGUAAAUAAGCAAUCCAGGAGCCAGAGAAUCAUGGGAUCUCAUAUAAACAAAUCAUCAAGGAAAAACACAGCCAGAGUCUCCAUUUGGUAAACCUCCGUGACUGGGGAUCCCCGGCCACCCAGAAAGCAGUAUUGCCUGCCAUGCAUGUCAUCACUGAUUUUUACUGCUGCAGCAGACUCCGUCAGACCUGCCUGCUGCUUCAGCGAAUUGUUCAGUGCACACCACCAGCUACCUGCUGUAAGCAUUCACACUCCUCUACCUGCCUGGCAGCAUUUCUCAGCUGAACACAGGCCAGGCCAGAAGUGCCAGGGAUUUAAUGCCCUUAGAAGUAGCUCUCUACCAAUGACAAAUGGAGCUGGUGGAUACAUUCUCAGCUUCCUCCCCUCUCAGGUGGAACAGCCCUGAGAUGUGCUCUAUGCAAUCUCCCACAAGUCCCCAGCAGGCUCAAGCUCCCAUUGUCCAACCCUGGUAACCUGCUCAUUGACACCCCUGUCUUGCCUUCCCUUCCUGGCCUCACUUUCUCACUCUCUUACUGUUGCCUCCUGAGAUCGCAUCCAAAAUAAAUGACCUGCACCCA